AGCGAACGCUGGCGGCAGGCCUAACACAUGCAAGUCGAACGGACCCUUCGGGGUUAGUGGCGGACGGGUGAGUAACACGUGGGAACGUGCCUUUAGGUUCGGAAUAGCUCCUGGAAACGGGUGGUAAUGCCGAAUGUGCCCUUCGGGGGAAAGAUUUAUCGCCUUUAGAGCGGCCCGCGUCUGAUUAGCUAGUUGGUGAGGUAACGGCUCACCAAGGCGACGAUCAGUAGCUGGUCUGAGAGGAUGACCAGCCACACUGGGACUGAGACACGGCCCAGACUCCUACGGGAGGCAGCAGUGGGGAAUCUUGCGCAAUGGGCGAAAGCCUGACGCAGCCAUGCCGCGUGAAUGAUGAAGGUCUUAGGAUUGUAAAAUUCUUUCACCGGGGACGAUAAUGACGGGACCCGGAGAAGAAGCCCCGGCUAACUUCGU
This 432-nucleotide ribosomal RNA is filed under the name uncultured bacterium. RNAcentral describes it as "partial 16S ribosomal RNA". It matches the Rfam family "Bacterial small subunit ribosomal RNA", at positions 29 to 506 of the family's 1533-position model. The record is from RNAcentral.